GGGAAGCUCACCAGGUCCAGACAUAUAUAGGAUUGACAGAUUGAUAGCUCUUUCUCGAUUUUAUGGGUGGUGGUGCAUGGCCGUUCUUAGUUGGUGGAGUGAUUUGUCUGGUUAAUUCCGUUAACGAACGAGACCUUAGCCUGCUAAAUAGUAUCAGGAAUGAUUCCUUUUUGCUUCUUAGAGGGACUUUGUGUGUUUAGCACAUGGAAGCUUGAGGCAAUAA
RNAcentral lists this ribosomal RNA (223 nucleotides) under uncultured eukaryote. RNAcentral's name for it is "partial 18S ribosomal RNA". It matches the Rfam family "Eukaryotic small subunit ribosomal RNA", at positions 1208 to 1456 of the family's 1831-position model. The record is from RNAcentral.